This 198-nucleotide ribosomal RNA is filed under the name uncultured bacterium. Its description in RNAcentral is "partial 16S ribosomal RNA". It matches the Rfam family "Bacterial small subunit ribosomal RNA", at positions 328 to 539 of the family's 1533-position model. The record is from RNAcentral.
ACGCUCGACACCUACGGGAGGCAGCAGUGGGGAAUAUUGCACAAUGGGGGAAACCCUGAUGCAGCGACGCCGCGUGAGCGAAGAAGUAUCUCGGUAUGUAAAGCUCUAUCAGCAGGGAAGAAAAUGACGGUACCUGACUAAGAAGCACCGGCUAAAUACGUGGCAGCAGCCGCGGUAAUCUGAGCGGGCUGGCAAGGC